Molecule: ribosomal RNA, 497 nt
Filed under: uncultured bacterium
Lineage: Bacteria
Description: partial 16S ribosomal RNA
Rfam family: Bacterial small subunit ribosomal RNA
Source: RNAcentral
GACGAGCGCUGGCGGCGUGCCUAAUACAUGCAAGUUGAGCGCUGAAGGUUGGUACUUGUACCAACUGGAUGAGCAGCGAACGGGUGAGUAACGCGUGGGGAAUCUGCCUUUGAGCGGGGGACAACAUUUGGAAACGAAUGCUAAUACCGCAUAAAAACUUUAAACACAAGUUUUAAGUUUGAAAGAUGCAAUUGCAUCACUCAAAGAUGAUCCCGCGUUGUAUUAGCUAGUUGGUGAGGUAAAGGCUCACCAAGGCGAUGAUACAUAGCCGACCUGAGAGGGUGAUCGGCCACAUUGGGACUGAGACACAGCCCAAACUCCUACGGGAGGCAGCAGUAGGGAAUCUUCGGCAAUGGACGAAAGUCUGACCGAGCAACGCCGCGUGAGUGAAGAAGGUUUUCGGAUCGUAAAACUCUGUUGGUAGAGAAGAACGUUGGUGAGAGUGGAAAGCUCAUCAAGUGACGGUAACUACCCAGAAAGGGACGGCUAACUACGUG